GAUGAACGCUAGCUACAGGCUUAACACAUGCAAGUCGAGGAGCAGCAUGAACUUAGCUUGCUAAGUUUGAUGGCGACCGGCGCACGGGUGAGUAACACGUAUCCAACCUGCCGAUGACUCGGGGAUAGCCUUUCGAAAGAAAGAUUAAUACCCGAUGGCAUAGUUCUUCCGCAUGGUAGAACUAUUAAAGAAUUUCGGUCAUCGAUGGGGAUGCGUUCCAUUAGGUUGUUGGCGGGGUAACGGCCCACCAAGCCUUCGAUGGAUAGGGGUUCUGAGAGGAAGGUCCCCCACAUUGGAACUGAGACACGGUCCAAACUCCUACGGGAGGCAGCAGUGAGGAAUAUUGGUCAAUGGACGAGAGUCUGAACCAGCCAAGUAGCGUGAAGGAUGACUGCCCUAUGGGUUGUAAACUUCUUUUAUACGGGAAUAAAGUGAGGCACGUGUGCCUUUUUGUAUGUACCGUAUGAAUAAGGAUCGGCUAACUCCGUG
This 489-nucleotide ribosomal RNA is filed under the name uncultured bacterium. RNAcentral describes it as "partial 16S ribosomal RNA". It matches the Rfam family "Bacterial small subunit ribosomal RNA", at positions 28 to 507 of the family's 1533-position model. The record is from RNAcentral.